Molecule: unclassified non-coding RNA, 328 nt
Filed under: uncultured fungus
Lineage: Eukaryota; Fungi
Description: partial contains 5.8S ribosomal RNA and internal transcribed spacer 2
Rfam family: 5.8S ribosomal RNA (bases 1-132)
Source: RNAcentral
UGGUUCUGGCAUNGAUGAAGAACGCAGCGAAACGCGAUAAGUAAUGCGAAUUGCAGAAUAAGUGAGUCAUCGAAUUUUUGAACGCACAUUGCGCCCUUUGGCAUUCCGAGGGGCAUACCUGUUCGAGCGUCAUUCACAACCAUCAAGCCUGGCUUGCCGUUGAAUCCUCACCCGUAAUAGGGUGGGUUCGAAAGAUAGUGGCGGGGUGGACGAACCCUAGAUGCAACGAGCUUUGUUAAAGCACGCAUUGAUGUGGCCGACCACCUCUGGACCUUUAACUAUCACUUUUCUUAAGGUUGACCUCGGAUCAGGUAGGACUACCCGCUGA